GGCAUGCCUGUUCGAGCGUCAUUAGACCAUAUCGCGCAAGCGGUCUUGGGGCUUGCGAUCUCGCAUCCCUUAAAAACAGUGGCGGUGCAUAGGGCUCUCAGCGUAGUAAAACCCCGCUGUUGAGUGCUGGAAACACCCGCCAGAACCCCCAACUUUCUUAGGUUGACCUCGGAUCAGGUAGGGAUACCCGCUGAACUUAA
This 200-nucleotide unclassified non-coding RNA is filed under the name soil metagenome. RNAcentral's name for it is "partial contains 5.8S ribosomal RNA, internal transcribed spacer 2, and large subunit ribosomal RNA". The record is from RNAcentral.